This 470-nucleotide ribosomal RNA is filed under the name uncultured bacterium. RNAcentral describes it as "SSU rRNA". It matches the Rfam family "Bacterial small subunit ribosomal RNA", at positions 26 to 521 of the family's 1533-position model. The record is from RNAcentral.
AGCCUGAACGCUGGCGGCGUGGCUAAGACAUGCAAGUCGUACGGGUGUAGCAAUACACCAGUGGCGAACGGGUGAGUAAUGUAUCGCUAAUGUGCCCCGGAUUCUGGGAUAGCUACCCGAAAGGGUAGGUAAUACCAGAUGAUAUAACUUUGCCGCAUGGCAGAGUUCUCAAAGGAGUAAUCCGCUCUGGGAGCAGGCGAUAUCGUAUCAGCUAGUUGGUGAGGUAACGGCUCACCAAGGCGACGACGCGUAGCCGGACUGAGAGGUUGGCCGGCCACAUUGGGACUGAGACACUGCCCAGACUCCUACGGGGGGCUGCAGUAACGAAUCUUCCGCAAUGCACGAAAGUGUGACGGAGCGACGCCGCGUGUGGGACGAAGCCCUUCGGGGUGUAAACCACUGUCAGGGGUUAGAAAGUUCUGAUCAACCCCAGAGGAAGGCACGGCUAACUCUGUGCCAGCAGCCGCGGU